This 567-nucleotide ribosomal RNA is filed under the name uncultured bacterium. RNAcentral describes it as "bacterial SSU rRNA". It matches the Rfam family "Bacterial small subunit ribosomal RNA", at positions 338 to 916 of the family's 1533-position model. The record is from RNAcentral.
CCUACGGGAGGCAGCAGUGGGGAAUAUUGCACAAUGGGCGCAAGCCUGAUGCAGCGACGCCGCGUGAGGGAUGACGGCCUUCGGGUUGUAAACCUCUUUCAGCAGGGACGAAGCGCAAGUGACGGUACCUGCAGAAGAAGCACCGGCCAACUACGUGCCAGCAGCCGCGGUAAUACGUAGGGUGCAAGCGUUGUCCGGAAUUACUGGGCGUAAAGAGCUCGUAGGCGGUUUGUCGCGUCGUCUGUGAAAACCAGCAGCUCAACUGUUGGCUUGCAGGCGAUACGGGCAGACUUGAGUAUUUCAGGGGAGACUGGAAUUCCUGGUGUAGCGGUGAAAUGCGCAGAUAUCAGGAGGAACACCGGUGGCGAAGGCGGGUCUCUGGGAAAUAACUGACGCUGAGGAGCGAAAGCGUGGGUAGCGAACAGGAUUAGAUACCCUGGUAGUCCACGCCGUAAACGGUGGGCGCUAGGUGUGGGUUUCCUUCCACGGGAUCCGUGCCGUAGCUAACGCAUUAAGCGCCCCGCCNGGGGAGUACGGCCGCAAGGCUAAACUCAAAGGAAUUGACGG